AAGGGAGAGGAAUACGUAGAAAUCUACCCCUGAGACCGGGAUAGCGUCGGGAAACUGGCAGUAAUACCGGAUAAUGUCUGCGGACCAAAGGUGUGAAUCCGUCUGAGGAUGAGCCCACGUCCUAUUAGCUUGUUGGUGGGGUAAUGGCCUACCAAGGCAAUGAUGGGUAGCGGGUGUGAGAGCAUGAUCCGCCUCACUGGGACUGAGAACUGCCCAGACACCUACGGGUGGCUGCAGUCGAGAAUCUUUGUCAAUGGACGAAAGUCUGAACAAGCGACGCCGCGUGCGGGAUGAAGGCCUUCGGGUUGUAAACCGCUGUCGUAGGGGAACAAAUGUACGGGGGUUCUCCCCUGUAUUUGAGUGAUCCUAGGAGGAAGGAGAGGCUAAGCUCGUGCCAGCAGCCGCGGUAAGACGAGCUCUCCAAACGUUAUUCGGUAUCACUGGGCUUAAAGAGUUCGUAGGCGGCCUAGCAGGUCAGGUGUGAAAUUCCACAGCUCAACUGUGGAAUAGCGCUUGAAACCGUUAGGCUUGAGGGAGAUAGAGGUAGGCGGAACAGAUGGUGGAGCGGUGAAAUGCGUUGA
This 581-nucleotide ribosomal RNA is filed under the name uncultured bacterium. RNAcentral's name for it is "bacterial SSU rRNA". It matches the Rfam family "Bacterial small subunit ribosomal RNA", at positions 102 to 694 of the family's 1533-position model. The record is from RNAcentral.